GAUGAACGCUGGCGGCGUGCCUAACACAUGCAAGUCGAACGGAGUCCAGCCUUUAAGACCUUCGGGUCAAAGAGGGGAAGACUGAGUGGCGGACGGGUGAGUAACACGUGGGCAACCUGGCUCAUAGAGGGGGAUAACAGAGAGAAAUUUCUGCUAAUACCGCAUAAGCACACACUGCCGCAUGGCAGAGGGUGAAAAGAGAAUCGCUAUGAGAUGGACCCGCGCCUGAUUAGCCAGUUGGCAGGGUAAGAGCCUACCAAAGCGACGAUCAGUAGCCGAUCUGAGAGGAUGAACGGCCACAUUGGGACUGAGACACGGCCCAAACUCCUACGGGAGGCAGCAGUGGGGGAUAUUGCACAAUGGGGGGAACCCUGAUGCAGCGACGCCGCGUGAGUGAAGAAGUAUUUCGGUAUGUAAAGCUCUAUCAGCAGGGAAGAUAAUGACAGUACCUGAAUAAGAAGCCCCGGCUAACUACGUG
RNAcentral lists this ribosomal RNA (478 nucleotides) under uncultured bacterium. RNAcentral describes it as "partial 16S ribosomal RNA". It matches the Rfam family "Bacterial small subunit ribosomal RNA", at positions 28 to 507 of the family's 1533-position model. The record is from RNAcentral.